GAUGAACGCUGGCGGCGUGCCUAAUACAUGCAAGUCGAGCGAACGGACGAGAAGCUUGCUUCUCUGAUGUUAGCGGCUGACGGGUGAGUAACACGUGGAUAACCUACCUAUAAGACUGGGAUAACUUCGGGAAACCGGAGCUAAUACCGGAUGAUAUUUUGAACCGCAUGGUUCAAAAGUUCAAGACGGUCUUGCUGUCACUUAUAGAUGGAUCCGCGCUGCAUUAGCUAGUUGGUAAGGUAACGGCUUACCAAGGCAACGAUGCAUAGCCGACCUGAGAGGAUGAUCGGCCACACUGGAACUGAGACACGGUCCAGACUCCUACGGGAGGCAGCAGUAGGGAAUAUUCCGCAAUGGGCGAAAGCCUGACGGAGCAACGCCGCGUGAGUGAUGAAGGUCUUCGGAUCGUAAAACUCUGUUAUUAGGGAAGAACAUAUGUGUAAGUAACUGUGCACAUCUUGACGGUACCUAAUCAGAAAGCCACGGCUAACUACGUG
RNAcentral lists this ribosomal RNA (497 nucleotides) under uncultured bacterium. RNAcentral's name for it is "partial 16S ribosomal RNA". It matches the Rfam family "Bacterial small subunit ribosomal RNA", at positions 28 to 507 of the family's 1533-position model. The record is from RNAcentral.